AACAAUUUCACUUUUAUCUGCAGCAACAAGUACCAGGGAAAUCAAGAUAAAACAAGCGAUUAGAAAGGUUUGCUGUGUGUAGUUCAUUAAGUGAUACGUGCUGGGCGCAGUUUCAAAGAACAGAGUUUGUUUGCUUCUGUCAGUCUCCAGGCAGAGAGAUGACCUCACCCAAGUACAUUUCACAGGAUGUAGAAGCUACAGCCAAAUUCAGAGUAGGAAUGUCCUUUUUUGUGCGAUUUUUCCACUGCUUCAUAAUUUCUUUACAUAGCACCAGCCUUGAUCUAGUGGUAACACACUUGCCUUUGGAAGAGAAGGUCGUGGGUUCAAGGCUCACUUAAGGUCUUAAGCAUGUAAGUCCGUUAAUACAUCAGUGCCUGAAGGAUGCUCACGCUACCUGGUAUGCUAUCUAUUGGAAGAGAUGUCAAACUGCUCUGCAGGGUGGAUGGUAAAAGAGUCAUGGCAUUAUUCAGAGGUGUGCGUUGUACCAAACAUAAACUCUGAGCAUAAUGGUUAACAGAUUUCUGGGGAACGUUUCUUUACAAAAAUGUAAUACAUGGAGUUUUGAGGAGUGAUACGAGAGUGUGACCAGGGUGAUGUUGGUCUCUGAUGAUGCUGGCUGCCUUUUUGAGGCAGUGACGCCAGAUGAUCCCUUCGAUGGUGGGGAGGUCAGUACCUACGAUGGAUUGGACAGUGUUCAUCACUUUUUGCAAUUUUCUUCGAUUGUCUUCCAUCGGGAUUGAGAAAAAGAAGGGAAUGGCCAGUUAUCGACCUACGGCUACCUACGACUACCAUCACGACCUACUACGACCUACCUACAACCUAACCACGAGUACAAAGUAUCAAUUUUUUCCAUGCCGACCUUUUUUUUACCCGUGAACAUUUUUUAUCAAGCUGGAGAAAACGCCAUGACCUACUUGAGGUUACGAGUACGCGGAAACCACUCACGAGCAUGAGGAAGAGUUACAAAGACCUCCUACGACCUCCUACAACCUAGUUGCGACCAUGCUGCGAGUAUGAGUCAAGGGCAAACUCGGCAGAGGUUGCCAAUUAGGUCGUGAAAGUGGGAUAGGGGCUUAAGGCAGCAACUCUACCGUUGCGCCACCAUGCUCCCCUGUGAAUUUUCUUGAGAAUAAGAAGGCACGCAUAUAAGAUAUUCAAAUGUUAGAUUGAAUAUGAGGAAUUAUUUUGCACAGAUUAGAGAAAUGUCUUUGAAAAGGAUUUGAGCCUGGGGUUUGAGACCAAUCAGAGAAACAAAGCUAUAAGAGAGUGUCAAACCAACAUUUAAUUUUAAUUAUAACCUUUAUAUAAAUAUCGGUUCAGAACUGGGCUACCCACAUUAGAUGCCUACAUCAACAGACUUUAUUAAGAGUUACUAAACUGUGAUGAGGAAUGGAAAGAAUGAUUGAUAUGUUUUCUUUAAAAAAUCUCAUUGCAAUGUGAGAGUGGAAAGACCUUCAGCUGAAUCUCUGAUUGAAUUCCACAUAGAAAAGCAUUUACUGACUCAGUCACCAGGGAGCCAAGAUCAAAUUAAACAACUUGUUUAGUUUGUAUCUGUAUGUCAGAGAAAAUUCAUUAUGCAGUAUCUGUGAAUUAGAGUAUAUAUUGAAUUUGGGAUAAGAACAAAGUGACAACCAUGAAGCAUGCAAGAUGUAAUUUUACAUAAUUGGACAUAAUUAGAAAAGUGCUUUGUUAAAAACCUUCUCAGACUUCUGUUACCCUGCUGUUUCCGUACAAGGAAAAUAAAUGAAUGAUUAAAAGAAAUGGCAAUCGUUACUGAUAAAUGCUUUAGACAAUAGCCCAGUGCUGAUCACAAGUGACUGACAGCUGGAGCUCUCAUAUAUUUACAGUAGACAUAAAUCCUACUCAGCUACAGAAAGUCUACCAAUAUUGCUUGUACUUUCUAUACAAGAGUAAAAUAGAGAUUUUUAUUUCUAUGUUUUUCCAGUUUAAAAUCUGGUUGCUUUAUGUUUCUGAAGCAUAAUAAUAUAAAUCAUGAAGUUUAUGCAUUAUUCCUUGAGAAAAGAUUGGAAUAUUUAACAUCUGUGUAUGUAUUUAGCUGUGUUUAUCAAAGUGUCACCUGAGUAAUUUUCAUUCAUUUUUUAGGGGAAACAGAGAAACACAAUUAAGGAAAUAAGUAAGUGGUGGAGCUGCUGCUUUAUAGUACCAGAGACCUGGGUUUGAUCCUGACCUUGGGUACUAUCUGUGCAGAGUUUGUACGUUCUCUCUGUGGCCACAUGGUGCUCUGGUUUCCUCCCACAUUCCAAAGACAAGCAGGUUUGUAGGCAAAUUGGCUUCUGUAAAUUGCCCCUAGUCUGUAGGAUGCGAGUGGGAUAAAAUGGAACUAGUACGGGUGAUCAAUGGUCAGCAGGCACUCAGUGGGAUGAAGGGCCUUGUUUCCACAUUGUAUUUCUAAACUCUAAACUCUAAAAAUAAUUAAAGUACAAUGAACAGCCUGUAAAUUUGUCCACCUGCAAUAGUUUGCUGUUUACAGUUCAGAAGAUCAACAUUCAUAUUUAGGACUAGAAAUUACAUUGUAUGUCACUGCAGCAGAUCUUGCUUCUAUGGAAGCACUUGUAUACAAUAGGUGCUAAGAGCCAUAGAGGUUGCCAGAAACUCAGUUCUGGCUUAUCAUAUUAAUCCCCGACUCAAAUGGUUUUGUUUUCAUUUAUGAAUCUAUGGCAACGUUGUGCCUCUAUCAAUCAAAUGAUUCUGAAACACAUAACCAUUCUCAGGGUGCUAAGAUUUCAAGAAGUGUCAUUUGUCUCAUUUAAAUUCUGUAAAAUUGCUCUUUUAUUCCUUCCUUGGUCUCACUGAUUUUCAAGCAGCCUAUUUUAGCUAGUUGCAUUGUGCAGCUUUGAAUUUGCUGAAGCAAAAAUGGCCAUGCUUCUUUGUGCAAUUUACAUAUACAAGUGGCAUAAUUUUGAUCCGUUCUGAAAUUAAACAUAAUUCAUCUACUAUUUUUUUGUUGAUCAUUCUUACUGCUCAUGCCAGAAGGCUCAUAUAGUUAUGUUUGCUUAGUAACCAGUGAAUAACACAUUAAAAUAUAAAAAGAAGCACUGACUGGUGCAUUGAAUUAGACAUUGACCUUCCAGCUCAGGUCAUGAGUUUAAAUUAGUUCAAAGUAAUGAGAUGAAAGUCUGUAUUGGUUUGUGCAUGUUGUGUUUGAAAUUAGUU
Long non-coding RNA from Leucoraja erinaceus (little skate), 3174 nucleotides. RefSeq lists it as uncharacterized. NCBI's taxonomy places the organism in Eukaryota, Metazoa, Chordata, Chondrichthyes, Rajiformes, Rajidae. The record is from RefSeq and is a predicted model, not a curated record. The transcript is spliced from 4 exons.